AGAUGAGUGAGACACCCCGCUCCCGGGAGACCGGGGGCGACUCCAGUACCGGGCUUCCCCAGCGCCGCACUGGGCCUGCGUUCGCGCACACUCCUCACCGAUCGGA
Streptomyces roseus is the source of this 106-nucleotide small RNA. It matches the Rfam family "Streptomyces RNA 5676". From Rfam's summary of the family: Identified by deep sequencing of transcriptome at the end of exponential growth phase. Appears longer on northern blot than sequencing transcript. This indicates processing step. The record is from Rfam. Lineage: Bacteria; Bacillati; Actinomycetota; Actinomycetes; Kitasatosporales; Streptomycetaceae.